Molecule: ribosomal RNA, 172 nt
Filed under: Alvinella pompejana symbiont APG1Bstab8
Lineage: Bacteria; Pseudomonadati; Campylobacterota
Description: partial 16S ribosomal RNA
Rfam family: Bacterial small subunit ribosomal RNA
Source: RNAcentral
CUCCUACGGGAGGCAGCAGUGGGGAAUAUUGGGCAAUGGGCGAAAGCCUGACCCAGCAACACCGCGUGGAGGAAGACACCCUUAGGGGCGUAAACUCCUUUUAUAGCCGAUGAUAGUGACAGUAGGCUAUGAAUAAGCACCGGCAAACUCCGUGCCAGCAGCCGCGGUAAUA